RNAcentral lists this ribosomal RNA (253 nucleotides) under uncultured bacterium. Its description in RNAcentral is "partial 16S ribosomal RNA". It matches the Rfam family "Bacterial small subunit ribosomal RNA", at positions 524 to 776 of the family's 1533-position model. The record is from RNAcentral.
UACAGAGGUCCCAAGCGUUGUUCGGAUUCACUGGGCGUAAAGGGUGCGUAGGAGGUUGGCAAAGUCGGGUGUGAAAUCUCACCGCUUAACGGUGAAAUGGCGCUCGAUACUGGUUGACUAGAGUACUGGAGGGGAAAGCGGAAUUCCUGGUGUAGCGGUGAAAUGCGUAGAUAUCAGGAGGAACACCAGUGGCGAAGGCGGCUUUCUGGACGGUAACUGACGCUGAGACGCGAAAGCGUGGGGAGCAAACAGG